GGGAUACGACGUACGCGGGGGGAGGGGGGCGGCUGCUCGCAGCGGGCUGGGCUGGAAGUUACCAGUAUCAGGGUAGUCGGCAAAUGAAGCAAAAAUGCCCCGCGGGAGCCCCGGCCGCGUUAGGCGAGGCGGGCUCGGCAGCCCCCCGGGGCCGCGGAGCGCCUCUGUCCCGACUCUCUCACGGGGGCGAAGGCUGCGGAUGUCGCGUCUGUCUGAGUUUUUACUGCUGCCGGCGCAUCAUAGACACUGGAUGAUCAAUGAAUCUUCAGGCUUCUAGGAAUAUUUGCAAGAGGAGGAGGAAUACCGUGAACAUGAGGACGUGCGAAAGAUGGUGAUGCUUGCAACCUAUGGCUGAACUGGAGGUAAUUUAUGGGUGGAUCAAUAACAUGCUAAGGUUCUUGAAAGACUAUUAAACAGUAGCAAGCGUGAUUUGCGAUUAAAUAAUUUAAAUUGUGUAUUUAUCUUGCAUUAACUUUAAGUAAUGAUUAUACCUCAGAUCAGAAGAUUUGUUCAUCGUUACUUACUGCUUAGAGUCGGGCACAAAAACAAAGCUAAUAUCCGGCCUUGGUCAAACUGAUCUCUAUAAAAUACUGUUUUCUCUAUCAGAUUUAAAUAAAUGAUAAAUAAUGAUCGGCCUUUAUGAUCUGUCAUGCAUCUGUGCUUUUCAGAUCGAGUUUGGGCCUUGUAAAAAUUAAUACAGUUGUAGACAAUGAAAAUGACAUUCAGCAGCAAUGGAUGUAAACAAGGAAAAUUGUCAUUUAUUAAACACACUGAUUAAUGUUACCCCUCAGAAAGCACAUUUAGAAUUAAAAGGAUAUAAAAAUUAGACAGGAAAAAAGUCUUUUGUAAUCAGAGAACUUGGAGCUUUCAACGGGUGAAAGCUUUUAAAAAUUUCAAAUUAAACCAUAUUUAUGUGAAACUGACACAAGGGGCUUUAGAGGUGGAGUUUUAUAUGUCAGUCUCCAAGGCCCACAAGCCAAACGUUUGGAAGCCUAGAAUCUUGCCUAGCCCCUGCUGCUUUGUGCUUAAUGUGGUGAAAAGGCUUGCUGCAACCACCCUUUAGCUUUAUUAUAUGAAUAUCUGUGAGAGAAAGGAAGUUAAUAUGUCUGUGAAAAUAUAUAUAGAAAUACUUAAAUGGGCAACUGAGUAUCUAUUCUACUUAUUAUUAUUGCUUAUGUGGGAUUUUCAUGUCCUAAAAGUACUAAAAUUGUAACCUGUAUAUUACUGUAAAGUAUAAUUAUGAAGUAAGCUAAUAAUUCUUUAUUAUAUAUUUACUUCUCUACAUAUUGAAAAUAAAGGUAUUGUAACAAGUCUGAUCAGUUUUUCUGUAACUCCGGUCAUCUGUUUUCUUCCAAAUAUCUGUAUCUCCCUUUUACCAUUUUCCUAGGACAGUAACUGGCCUACAUUUUAACCUCUGUCUCUUAAUCAGCGCUUCAAAUAAUUGUCAUGAUGGUGUAAUCACACUUAUUAUCAAAUAAAUAUUUUUUUAAUGA
Molecule: long non-coding RNA, 1493 nt
Organism: Chrysemys picta bellii (western painted turtle)
Lineage: Eukaryota; Metazoa; Chordata; Testudines; Emydidae
Source: RefSeq, a predicted model, not a curated record